CCUACGGGUGGCAGCAGUGAGGAAUAUUGGUCAAUGGGCUUACGCCUGAACCAGCCAAGUCGCGUGAGGGAAGACUGCCCUAUGGGUUGUAAACCUCUUUUGUCAGGGAGCAACGCCGGCUACGUGUAGCCGGACUGAGAGUACCUGAAGAAAAAGCAUCGGCUAACUCCGUGCCAGCAGCCGCGGUAAUACGGAGGAUGCGAGCGUUAUCCGGAUUUACUGGGUGUAAAGGGAGCGUAGACGGUGCGCCAAGUCUGGAGUGAAAUGCCGCAGCUUAACUGCGGAACUGCUUUGGAAACUGGCGAACUAGAGUGCGGGAGGGGUAAGCGGAAUUCCUAGUGUAGCGGUGAAAUGCGUAGAUAUUAGGAGGAACACCGGUGGCGAAGGCGGCUUACUGGACCGUAACUGACGUUGAGGCUCGAAAGCGUGGGGAGCAAACAGGAUUAGAUACCCCGGUAGUC
Molecule: ribosomal RNA, 461 nt
Filed under: uncultured bacterium
Lineage: Bacteria
Description: partial 16S ribosomal RNA
Rfam family: Bacterial small subunit ribosomal RNA
Source: RNAcentral